This 851-nucleotide ribosomal RNA is filed under the name uncultured bacterium. Its description in RNAcentral is "bacterial SSU rRNA". It matches the Rfam family "Bacterial small subunit ribosomal RNA", at positions 52 to 899 of the family's 1533-position model. The record is from RNAcentral.
UACCUGCAGUCGAGCGGUACAGGUGUAGCAAUACAUGCUGACGAGCGGCGAACGGGUGAGUAAUGCUUCGGAAUCUACCCAGUAGUGGGGAAUAACUAACCGAAAGGUUAGCUAAUACCGCAUACGUCCUACGGGAGAAAGCGGGGGUCGCAAGACCUCGCGCUAUCGGAUGAGCCGAAGUCGGAUUAGCUAGUUGGUGAGGUAACGGCUCACCAAGGCGACGAUCCGUAGCUGGUCUGAGAGGACGACCAGCCACACUGGAACUGAGACACGGUCCAGACUCCUACGGGAGGCAGCAGUGGGGAAUAUUGGACAAUGGGGGAAACCCUGAUCCAGCGACGCCGCGUGUGUGAAGAAGGCCUGCGGGUUGUAAAGCACUUUUAGUGGGGAUGAAAAGUUCAGGGCUAAUACCUCUGGGCAUUGACCUAACCCACAGAAAAAGCACCGGCUAACUCUGUGCCAGCAGCCGCGGUAAUACAGAGGGUGCAAGCGUUAAUCGGAAUUACUGGGCGUAAAGCGUGCGUAGGCGGUUUCGUAAGUCGGGUGUGAAAGCCCCGGGCUCAACCUGGGAAUUGCAUUCGAGACUGCGAAGCUAGGGUGCGGAAGAGGGAAGCGGAAUUUCCGGUGUAGCGGUGAAAUGCGUAGAUAUCGGAAGGAACAUCAGUGGCGAAAGCGGCUUCCUGGUCCAGCGCCGACGCUCAGGCACGAAAGCGUGGGGAGCAAACAGGAUUAGAUACCCUGGUAGUCCACGCCAUAAACGAUGAGAACUAGACGUUGAGAGGGUAAGCCUCCCAGUGUCGCAGCUAACGCGAUAAGUUCUCCGCCUGGGGAGUACGGCCGCAAGGUUGAAA